Molecule: small nuclear RNA, 78 nt
Filed under: Homo sapiens (human)
Lineage: Eukaryota; Metazoa; Chordata; Mammalia; Primates; Hominidae
Description: partial ncRNA
Source: RNAcentral
AGAAUCACCUGAGCCCAGGAGGUCGAGGCUGCAGUGGGCCAAGAUCAUGCCACUGCAUUCCAGUCUGGGCAAACAGAG